Long non-coding RNA from Cephus cinctus (wheat stem sawfly), 415 nucleotides. RefSeq lists it as uncharacterized. NCBI's taxonomy places the organism in Eukaryota, Metazoa, Arthropoda, Insecta, Hymenoptera, Cephidae. The transcript is spliced from 3 exons. The record is from RefSeq and is a predicted model, not a curated record.
ACCAAGUGUGAGAGGGACAGAGAGCUCGAAGUAUCAACGCAAAUUGGUGCGUUGCGAGAUGAAACCUAACAUCGUCCAAGAUGGUUAGUCUAAUAGGCACCCACUUAUGUCAGCAGAAUUCUUUACAGAUAAAUCAGAAGAUGCCCCUGGGUGCCUGGCUGAAGACCGUGAAGCGUUUGCAAGGUGAUCUGAAACAUAGCAUAUGAUUAUAUUAAUGUUAGAACUACAAACAAAAAUGUUUAGUACAAUAUACAUGAUUGGAUCAUACACAAUAAGGCCUAUAUCAUUUAUAACAGAAAAUGAUAGAAGGUAGAGAAAGGAAUGAAUGAAAAAGUAAAAGAAACAGCCUUACCCCAGGUGCCCCUGGCCUAGCUCCAACCAUGUGUGGACCAAUGACUACCCUAGAGGUCACUUG